GCGGAUAUGGCGGAAUUGGUAGACGCGUUGGAUUCAAAAUCCUAUGGUUUUUCCGUACAGGUUCAAGUCCUGUUAUCCGUAUUU
This 84-nucleotide transfer RNA is filed under the name Gormaniella terricola. RNAcentral describes it as "tRNA-Leu". It matches the Rfam family "tRNA". From Rfam's summary of the family: Transfer RNA (tRNA) molecules are approximately 80 nucleotides in length. Lineage: Eukaryota; Viridiplantae; Chlorophyta; Chlorophyceae; Chaetopeltidales; Chaetopeltidaceae. The record is from RNAcentral.